UAUUACAAAACGGGAUAUUACCGGGAAAGAGUUUUGGCUGUCGUCAGUUCUUUCUCACUCAAGUAGUUCUGUGAGGUUUGAUGAAGCUUUCACUUCAGCGGUGCACUGAAAUUCAUGGAGCGACCUCAGAUCUUAUUCCUGAUUAUCCUCAUUUCCUCACUCUGUUUUAUCGCAGAAUCCGAUCAGUUUUGUGACGCCGGUAUUGGAAUUGAUAAGUCAACAUGUGGUAUAACAUCGUCGUCGAAGCUACUGAUAAAGGGUGGGACUGUUGUGAAUGCUCAUCACCAGGAGGUUGCUGAUGUUUAUGUGGAAGAUGGGAUUAUUGUUGCUGUGAAGCGUAAUAUCAAGGUUGGAGAUGAUGUUGCAGUCGUAGAUGCCACUGGAAAAUAUGUCAUGCCAGGAGGAAUUGACCCUCACACACAUCUAGCUUUCGAGUUCAUGGGUACUGAGACGGUUGAUGACUUCUUCACUGGUCAGGCUGCAGCAUUAGCUGGUGGAACCACAAUGCACAUUGACUUUGUUAUUCCAGUGAAUGGAAGCCUAUCAGCAGGGUUUGAAUCAUAUGUGAAAAAAGCAAAGAAAUCGUGCAUGGAUUAUGGGUUUCAUAUGGCGAUCACAAAAUGGGAUGAAGUUGUUGCACAGGAAAUGGAAAUCAUGGUGAAGGAGAAGGGGAUAAAUUCUUUUAAGUUUUUCUUGGCAUACAAGGGGGCAUUAAUGAUCAGUGAUGAGCUCUUGUUACAAGGAUUGAAGAAGUGCAAAUCUCUUGGUGCCUUGGCCAUGGUACAUGCUGAAAAUGGUGAUGCUGUAUUUGAAGGACAGGAGAGAAUGAUUGAACUUGGUAUAACUGGUCCAGAGGGACACGCUCUUUCACGGCCUGCUGUGUUAGAAGGAGAGGCAACGUCCCGAGCCAUACGUCUGGCUAGUUUUGUGAACACUCCUCUAUAUGUGGUUCAUGUUAUGAGCAUUGAUGCAAUGGAAGAAAUAGCCAAAGCUCGAAAAGCAGGGCAGAAGGUGAUUGGAGAGCCAGUUGUGUCUGGGUUAGUUCUAGAUGAAUCUGGGCUUUGGGAUCCUGACUUUGUCACCGCUGCAAAGUAUGUCAUGAGUCCUCCUAUUAGAUCAUCGGGGCAUGAUAAGGCCCUUCAAGCAGCACUUUCAACUGGAGUUCUGCAGCUUGUGGGAACCGAUCACUGUGUUUUUAAUUCUACACAGAAAUCCAUAGGAAUUGAUGACUUUCGAAAAAUUCCUAAUGGUGUCAAUGGCAUCGAAGAAAGAAUGCAUUUGGUAUGGAAUACGAUGGUGGAAUCUGGUCAAAUAUCUGUCCGUGAUUAUGUUCGAAUCACAAGCACAGAAUGUGCUAGGAUUUUCAAUAUCUAUCCAAAGAAAGGAGCAAUUCUUGCUGGGUCUGAUGCAGACAUAAUUAUACUCAAUCCAAAUGCAAGUUUUGAAAUAUCUUCAAAGCAUCAUCAUUCUAGAACUGACACAAAUGUCUAUGAAGGAAAGAAAGGGAAGGGGAAGGUUGAAGUGACAAUUUCUGGAGGAAAGAUUGUUUGGGAAAACGAUGAGCUAAGGGUUAUUCCAGGUGCUGGGAAGUACAUAGAGAUGCCAGCUUUUAAUUAUUUGUUUGAUGGAAUUUACAAGGCAGAUGCUCAGUACCUGUCCUCGACUCGUGCUCCGGUGAAACGUUUUCAUUCUUCAACUUAAACCUUCAAUCAUCAUAGUUUAUGAAACCGGGUAGAAUAGACGAUAGAUAGUUGUUACAGAUGGAAUAACCGAGAUUGCAUGGCCUGUAUCCACCAUGUAGAUCUAUAGUAACUUCUUUUUUAAGAUACUGGACAGGAUAUCAUGUUAUUACAUAGUUUAUUUACUUUGUUUUCCUCCGUGAAGUAAGAAAAUAAAUUUCAAGGUUCCAUGUUUUAUAAGCUAAAGAGCCUAAACAAGAUGCAGGGAAGGUGAAAUUAUCCAUACGAUGAACGUGUCUCAUUUACAUUACCAUGCCAAGAAAAAAAAGGAUUCAGAAAAACAGCACGAUAUGACUAAAACAUAGAGGAGUGGGUUUCUGUCCCAUAUCAAGGCCUGAUACAACAAUUGAUGUAGAAGGCUAUAAAUGAAGUUGCCACCAUCAUGAAUAGCAUAAAAAUAAUCACCCAUUGAGGAAUAGAUACAGAAUCUGUUCCUCAGCCUUAGUAUCCAACAGAAAAGAAUGGGUGAAAGUACUUACCGGGCCAACAGAGUCAUCUCCUGGUGGUGAUUGAUGAUGAUGUUGGUGGUGAUGGUGUUGGUGUUCAUGGUCAUGGUCAUGGUCAUGGUGGUGGUGGUGGUGAUGGCGAUGGCGAUGACGAUGAUGGCGAUGUUUUUGGUGGCGAUGAUGUUUAUCCACAGCUUCCAUUAACUCCUUUUCAUUCCCUAGGCUGGUUUUUUUGAACUCGGUUAAAUCAGUUUUUUGUUGUUUUCUAUCGGCUCGAGCUUGAGUAAAUACAACAGAAUAAUUGCUUGCUCCUGGCGCAUUGUGAUCCCAACCCCCAAAUUCUGGAACUGACCUCCACCUAUUGUUCUUCAUAAACACACAAAUAUACCAACCAAACUUUUAGUUGCAUAUUCAAAUAGAUUCAUCAUAUUUUUCUUCCUCA
Cucumis sativus (cucumber) is the source of this 2627-nucleotide RNA transcript. It is a transcript of the gene named dihydropyrimidinase, with no coding region annotated. The transcript is spliced from 15 exons. The record is from RefSeq and is a predicted model, not a curated record. Lineage: Eukaryota; Viridiplantae; Streptophyta; Magnoliopsida; Cucurbitales; Cucurbitaceae.